GGGGAUGAUCGGCCUAGACAAUUGGAAAACCAUUUGAAAUCGCAAAGUAGCGCUGCGGAAACGCUUUAAAAGUCCGCAACACGAUAACUGCCAAAUCAGUUGUUGCAAAAGCAAAAUCAAUCGCUUCUCCGUAUUUCGGAGGAGCGGAAUUUGCUCCCGCUUACGCUUUAGCCUAAGCGGCAUCGCUUCAGGUAAGGCUUCAUAGCCCGAAAGCGGUGUAAUCAAUGAAGCUUAAAGACGCUUACCGCUUCGUCUGCGUCUUGAAAUAAAAGGAGCUAAGGUUUUGGCGUAUUUUGUCCGUUUAAAGCGCCGAGACCUAAAAAUCAAAACGAACUAGACCUUGUAGACGUUUCAAUGGAUUCUUUUUGCACGGCGGUUCGAUUCCGCCCAUCUCCACAU
This 399-nucleotide transfer-messenger RNA is filed under the name bacterium. It matches the Rfam family "transfer-messenger RNA". From Rfam's summary of the family: Bacterial tmRNA, also known as 10Sa RNA or SsrA, is named for its dual tRNA and mRNA-like properties. Its role is to liberate the mRNA from a stalled ribosome. The record is from RNAcentral.